UACGUAGGGUGCAAGCGUUGUCCGGAAUUAUUGGGCGUAAAGAGCUUGUAGGCGGUUUGUCGCGUCUGCCGUGAAAAUUCGAGGCUCAACCUCGAACUUGCGGUGGGUACGGGCAGACUAGAGUGUGGUAGGGGAGACUGGAAUUCCUGGUGUAGCGGUGAAAUGCGCAGAUAUCAGGAGGAACACCGAUGGCGAAGGCAGGGUCUCUGGGCCGAUACUGACGCUGAGGAGCGAAAGCGUGGGGAGCGAACAGG
RNAcentral lists this ribosomal RNA (254 nucleotides) under uncultured bacterium. RNAcentral's name for it is "partial 16S ribosomal RNA". It matches the Rfam family "Bacterial small subunit ribosomal RNA", at positions 524 to 776 of the family's 1533-position model. The record is from RNAcentral.